Molecule: ribosomal RNA, 497 nt
Filed under: uncultured bacterium
Lineage: Bacteria
Description: partial 16S ribosomal RNA
Rfam family: Bacterial small subunit ribosomal RNA
Source: RNAcentral
GAUGAACGCUGGCGGCGUGCCUAAUACAUGCAAGUCGAGCGAACAGACGAGGAGCUUGCUCCUCUGACGUUAGCGGCGGACGGGUGAGUAACACGUGGAUAACCUACCUAUAAGACUGGGAAAUCUUCGGGACACCGGAUCUAAUACCGGAUAAUAUAUUGCACCGCAUGGUUCAAUAGUGAAAGACGGUUUUGCUGUCACUUAUAGAUGGAUCUGCGCCGCAUUAGCUAGUUGGUAAGGUAACGGCUUACCAAGGCGACGAGGCGUAGCCGACCUGAGAGAGUGAUCGGCCACACUGGAACUGGGACACGGUCCAGGCUCCUGCGGGAGGCAGCAGUAGGGAAUCUUCCGCAAAGGGCGAAAGCCUGGCGGAACAGCGGCGCGUGAGUGAUGAAGGUCUUCGGAUCGUAAAACUCUGUUAUUAGGGAAGAACAAAUGUGUAAGUAACUAUGCACGUCUUGACGGUACCUAAUCAGAAAGCCACGGCUAACUACGUG